This 495-nucleotide ribosomal RNA is filed under the name uncultured bacterium. RNAcentral describes it as "partial 16S ribosomal RNA". It matches the Rfam family "Bacterial small subunit ribosomal RNA", at positions 28 to 508 of the family's 1533-position model. The record is from RNAcentral.
GACGAACGUUGGCGGCGUGCUUAACACAUGCAAGUCGAACGGUGAAGCGCCUUCCUUUUUGGUGGGUGUGGAUGAGUGGCGAACGGGUGAGUAACACGUGAGUAACCUGCCCCCUUCUUCUGGAUAACCGCAUGAAAGUGUGGCUAAUACGGGAUAUUCUGGGUCUGUCGCAUGAUGGGUCUGGGAAAGAUAUUGUUUCGGUGGGGGAUGGGCUCGCGGCCUAUCAGCUUGUUGGUGGGGUGAUGGCCUACCAAGGCGGUGACGGGUAGCCGGCCUGAGAGGGUGGACGGUCACACUGGGACUGAGACACGGCCCAGACUCCUACGGGAGGCAGCAGUGGGGAAUAUUGCACAAUGGGCGCAAGCCUGAUGCAGCGACGCCGCGUGAGGGAUGGAGGCCUUCGGGUUGUGAACCUCUUUCGCCAGUGAAGCAGGCCUGCCUCGUUUGUGGGUGGGUUGACGGUAGCUGGAUAAGAAGCGCCGGCUAACUACGUGC